GAAAUGCGAUAAGUAAUGUGAAUUGCAGAAUUCAGUGAAUCAUCGAAUCUUUGAACGCACAUUGCGCCCGCCAGUAUUCUGGCGGGCAUGCCUGUUCGAGCGUCAUUUCAACCCUCAGGCCCCCAGUGCCUGGCGUUGGGGAUCGGCGUGGGCCGGGGCUGUCCUCCGGGACGGUCCCCGCGCCUGCCGGCCCCGAAAUUCAGUGGCGGUCUCGCUGUAGUCCCCCUCUGCGUAGUAGCACAACUCGCAUUGGAGCUCGGCGGUGGCCAUGCCGUAAAACACCCCACUUCUGAAAGUUGACCUCGGAUCAGGUAGGAAUACCCGCUGAACUUAAGC
RNAcentral lists this unclassified non-coding RNA (336 nucleotides) under plant metagenome. Its description in RNAcentral is "partial contains 5.8S ribosomal RNA, internal transcribed spacer 2, and large subunit ribosomal RNA". The stretch from base 1 to 105 matches the Rfam family "5.8S ribosomal RNA", at positions 50 to 154 of the family's 154-position model. The record is from RNAcentral.